GUAGGGUCCGAGCGUUAUCCGGGAAUCAUUGGGGCGUAAAGAGCUCGUAGGCGGUUCAGCAAGUCGGGCUGUGAAAGUUCGAGGGCUCAACCUCGAAAUUGCAGUCGAUACUGCUGUGACUUGAAUUCGGUAGAGGAGAAUGGAAUUCCCCGGUGUAGCGGUGAAAUGCGCAGAUAUCGGGAGGAACACCAGUAGCGAAGGCGGUUCUCUGGGCCGAUAUUGACGCUGAGGAGCGAAAGCGUGGGGAGCAAACAGGAUUAGAUACCCUGGUAGUCCACGCCGUAAACGUUGGAUGCUAGGUGUGGCGGUCUACCAACGACUGCCGUGCCGAAGCUAACGCAUUAAGCAUCCCGCCUGGGGAGUACGGCCGCAAGGCUA
This 378-nucleotide ribosomal RNA is filed under the name uncultured organism. Its description in RNAcentral is "partial 16S ribosomal RNA". It matches the Rfam family "Bacterial small subunit ribosomal RNA", at positions 527 to 896 of the family's 1533-position model. The record is from RNAcentral.